AUGGGACCUGCGGUGCAUUAGCUAGUUGGUAGGGUAACGGGUCGUACCAAGGACGAUGAUGCAUAGCCGAGUUGAGAGACUGAUCGGCCACAUUGGGACUGAGACACGGCCCAAACUCCUACGGGAGGCGAGCAGUAGGGAAUCUUCCACAAUGGACGCAAGUCUGAUGGAGCAACGCCGCGUGAGUGAAGAAGGGUUUCGGCUCGUAAAGCUCUGUUGUUGGUGAAGAAGGACAGGGGUAGUAACUGACCUUUGUUUGACGGUAAUCAAUUAGAAAGUCACGGCUAACUACGUGCCAGCAGCCGCGGUAAU
This 312-nucleotide ribosomal RNA is filed under the name uncultured Lactobacillus sp. RNAcentral's name for it is "bacterial SSU rRNA". It matches the Rfam family "Bacterial small subunit ribosomal RNA", at positions 224 to 524 of the family's 1533-position model. Lineage: Bacteria; Bacillati; Bacillota; Bacilli; Lactobacillales; Lactobacillaceae. The record is from RNAcentral.